CGCAGCUCCCACAAACCCUGAGCCUUUGUCGCCCUGCUACAGUAUGCCUCCUUCCACCCCUCCCCAACCCCGCCGUCGCCGAAACUUCCUCACCCAAUUGGAUGGCUUGCUCUCUGUCCAAUUUUUUCUAGAACUAGCGCCGUGUGGGUUGUAAUGUACCGGAUUUUUAAUAUAAAAUUAAAUGUAAAUAAAAAUAGUGUAAGAUACUAUUUUUAUUGGACUUAAAAAAGUAAAUAUAAGUCAAAAAUGACUUGUGCUGAAAUUGGAAUGAAAACAGAAGAUUUAGAAUUUUCUGUAAGAAACGGACUAAUCUUUUAGCAAAAAAUUUACAGCGUCAGAAAAUUAUGAAAAUUUGAAAAUAUGUCAGAAUUAUUUUUCUGAUGCUAGAUUUAAAGUUUCAUGUUAUUCCGACACCCAAAAAGUGAAAAAUAAAAUCUGACUGCUAUCUGCUAGAGAUUCUAGUUUGUAGACUUUUCGAUGAUCAAAAGUGGUUCAAAACUGAAAAGUUAAGAUCACGUUCUUCUAAUUGAUUUUAACCGAGUCUUACUGUCAAAUUUGAGCGCAAACGAACAUUUAGAAGGGCUCUAGCGAAAAGUAACAGAUCUGAACUGGACGAAAUUGUAAGUUGCAAUGGUUGGGGGGCCUAUGUG
RNAcentral lists this long non-coding RNA (650 nucleotides) under Ananas comosus (pineapple). Its description in RNAcentral is "long non-coding RNA (ACOM_LNC021386)". Lineage: Eukaryota; Viridiplantae; Streptophyta; Magnoliopsida; Poales; Bromeliaceae. The record is from RNAcentral.